RNAcentral lists this ribosomal RNA (345 nucleotides) under Coptodon louka. RNAcentral describes it as "partial 12S ribosomal RNA". It matches the Rfam family "Bacterial small subunit ribosomal RNA", at positions 801 to 1360 of the family's 1533-position model. Lineage: Eukaryota; Metazoa; Chordata; Actinopteri; Cichliformes; Cichlidae. The record is from RNAcentral.
UUUGAUAGCCCCCUACUCUCGCUAUCCGCCCGGGUACUACGAGCACUAGCUUAAAACCCAAAGGACUUGGCGGUGCUUUAGAUCCACCUAGAGGAGCCUGUUCUAGAACCGAUAACCCCCGUUAAACCUCACCCUCCCUUGUUCUUUCCGCCUAUAUACCGCCGUCGUCAGCUUACCCUGUGAAGGAACCACAGUAAGCAAAACUAGUACAACUCAAAACGCCAGGUCGAGGUGUAGCAUAUGAGAGGGGAAGAAAUGGGCUACAUUCCCUGCCGCAGGGAAUACGAACAAUGUAAUGAAACGUACAUUAAAAGGAGGAUUUAGCAGUAAGCAGAAAAUAGAGCG